This 417-nucleotide ribosomal RNA is filed under the name uncultured bacterium. RNAcentral's name for it is "bacterial SSU rRNA". It matches the Rfam family "Bacterial small subunit ribosomal RNA", at positions 30 to 485 of the family's 1533-position model. The record is from RNAcentral.
AUUGAACGCUGGCGGCAUGGCUAAAACAUGCAAGUCGAACGAGAACCUCGCAAGAGGGGACAGUGGCGGAAGGGUCAGUAAUGGGAUCGAACGUACCCAGAGGUGGAGGAUAGCGUUGGGAAACUGACGGUAAUACUCCAUGUCCUCUACGGAGAAAAGAUUUAUCGCCUUUGGAGCGGCGAUCCUCCUAUCAGGUAGUUGGCGGGGUAAAAGCCCACCAAGCCUAAGACGGGUAGCGGGUGUGAGAGCACGGCCCGCGACAUCGAGACUGAGACACUGCUCGGACUCCUACGGGAGGCUGCAGUAACGAAUAUUCCGCAAUGCGCGAAAGCGUGACGGAGCAAUGCCGCGUGCAGGAUGAAGCGGUUUCGCCGUGUAAACUGCUGUCAGGGGUCAGAAAUACUGAUCUGCCCCAAA